GUGCAAUGGCAUAAGCCAGCUUGACUGCGAGCGUGACGGCGCGAGCAGGUGCGAAAGCAGGUCAUAGUGAUCCGGUGGUUCUGAAUGGAAGGGCCAUCGCUCAACGGAUAAAAGGUACUCCGGGGAUAACAGGCUGAUACCGCCCAAGAGUUCAUAUCGACGGCGGUGUUUGGCACCUCGAUGUCGGCUCAUCACAUCCUGGGGCUGAAGUAGGUCCCAAGGGUAUGGCUGUUCGCCAUUUAAAGUGGUACGCGAGCUGGGUUUAGAACGUCGUGAGACAGUUCGGUCCCUAUCUGCCGUGGGCGCUGGAGAACUGAGGGGGGCUGCUCCUAGUACGAGAGGACCGGAGUGGACGCAUCACUGGUGUUCGGGUUGUCAUGCCAAUGGCACUGCCCGGUAGCUAAAUGCGGAAGAGAUAAGUGCUGAAAGCAUCUAAGCACGA
This 442-nucleotide ribosomal RNA is filed under the name Salmonella enterica subsp. enterica serovar Stanley. RNAcentral describes it as "partial 23S ribosomal RNA". It matches the Rfam family "Bacterial large subunit ribosomal RNA", at positions 2349 to 2790 of the family's 2925-position model. Lineage: Bacteria; Pseudomonadati; Pseudomonadota; Gammaproteobacteria; Enterobacterales; Enterobacteriaceae. The record is from RNAcentral.